UACGUAGGGUGCAAGCGUUAAUCGGAAUUACUGGGCGUAAAGCGUGCGCAGGCGGUUUUGUAAGUCUGUCGUGAAAUCCCCGGGCUCAACCUGGGAAUUGCGAUGGAGACUGCAAGGCUAGAAUCUGGCAGAGGGGGGUAGAAUUCCACGUGUAGCAGUGAAAUGCGUAGAGAUGUGGAGGAACACCGAUGGCGAAGGCAGCCCCCUGGGUCAAGAUUGACGCUCAUGCACGAAAGCGUGGGGAGGAAACAGG
This 253-nucleotide ribosomal RNA is filed under the name uncultured bacterium. Its description in RNAcentral is "partial 16S ribosomal RNA". It matches the Rfam family "Bacterial small subunit ribosomal RNA", at positions 524 to 776 of the family's 1533-position model. The record is from RNAcentral.